RNAcentral lists this ribosomal RNA (450 nucleotides) under Triticum aestivum (bread wheat). RNAcentral's name for it is "partial small subunit ribosomal RNA". The record is from RNAcentral. Lineage: Eukaryota; Viridiplantae; Streptophyta; Magnoliopsida; Poales; Poaceae.
AUGAGGGAGAGAAAGUGGCCAGGGAAUCCUUGUUGUUCCUUCUGCAGGGAGGUAGAAACUUCUAACCACCUUUUCUUCACUUGCCCCAUUGCUAGGGUGGUUUGGAGAUCUAUUGGGGUGGUGCUAGGCACUGACAUGUGCCCUAACAACUAUUGGUAGUAUUUCGCCUGGUGCAAUAAAUUUCUCCCUGGCAAAGAUACCUUCUUAUUGGGGUUUAGUGCUACUUGUUGGGCCAUCUGGCUGGCGCGCAAUCGUGCUACCUUUGAGAAAAAACAGAUUAAGACUCCUUUUGAGAUUGUUUUCUCCCUCUGUUCAUUUCUUUUGUACUGGACAGGUUUACAGAAAGGAGAGGCGGCUGGAGAACUUCGCGCAGGUGCAGAGAUGAUCAAGAACGGCACGCUGCAGCUGAUGAAACUGUGCGACUCCGUCAAGCAAACGAUCCAGACAUGA